GCGGGUGUAACUCAAUGGUAGAGUGCCAGCCUUCCAAGCUGGUAACGUGGGUUCGAUUCCCAUCACCCGCU
This is a non-coding RNA of Caloramator quimbayensis, 71 nucleotides long. The record is from Rfam. Lineage: Bacteria; Bacillati; Bacillota; Clostridia; Eubacteriales; Clostridiaceae.